UACGUAGGGUGCGAGCGUUAAUCGGAAUUACUGGGCGUAAAGCGUGCGCAGGCGGUUGUGUAAGACAGAUGUGAAAUCCCCGGGCUCAACCUGGGAACUGCAUUUGUGACUGCACGGCUCGAGUGCGGCAGAGGGGGAUGGAAUUCCGCGUGUAGCAGUGAAAUGCGUAGAUAUGCGGAGGAACACCGAUGGCGAAGGCAAUCCCCUGGGCCUGCACUGACGCUCAUGCACGAAAGCGUGGGGAGCAAACAGG
This 253-nucleotide ribosomal RNA is filed under the name uncultured bacterium. Its description in RNAcentral is "partial 16S ribosomal RNA". It matches the Rfam family "Bacterial small subunit ribosomal RNA", at positions 524 to 776 of the family's 1533-position model. The record is from RNAcentral.